Molecule: ribosomal RNA, 254 nt
Filed under: uncultured bacterium
Lineage: Bacteria
Description: partial 16S ribosomal RNA
Rfam family: Bacterial small subunit ribosomal RNA
Source: RNAcentral
CACGUAGGGUGCGAGCGUUGUCCGGAAUUAUUGGGCGUAAAGAGCUCGUAGGCGGUGUGUCGCGUCGGCCGUGAAAACCUGCAGCUUAACUGUGGGCUUGCGGUCGAUACGGGCAUCACUGGAGUUCGGCAGGGGAGACUGGAAUUCCUGGUGUAGCGGUGAAAUGCGCAGAUAUCAGGAGGAACACCGGUGGCGAAGGCGGGUCUCUGGGCCGAUACUGACGCUGAGGAGCGAAAGCGUGGGGAGCGAAUGGG